GUAGAAAAAUCAGUAUGAGCCAUAUUGCCCUGUACCUGUGUGCAGAUAAGCUUCUCUAUAUGGCCCAGAAGUUGCAAAGCCUCAGAAAUAUCAAGCAUCUACUUGCAGCCCAUGGAACAGCUUAAAGCAAACUACACAUUAUGAAUCUUUCUCUUAAAAUCUUUACAUGGUGAUACAGAUGUGAUCUAAGGAAGA
Molecule: long non-coding RNA, 195 nt
Filed under: Fukomys damarensis (Damara mole-rat)
Lineage: Eukaryota; Metazoa; Chordata; Mammalia; Rodentia; Bathyergidae
Description: lncRNA (ENSFDAG00000032821.1)
Source: RNAcentral